This 601-nucleotide ribosomal RNA is filed under the name uncultured bacterium. Its description in RNAcentral is "bacterial SSU rRNA". It matches the Rfam family "Bacterial small subunit ribosomal RNA", at positions 727 to 1332 of the family's 1533-position model. The record is from RNAcentral.
GACGAGUCCUUAACUGACGCUAAAGCUCGAAAGUGCGGGUAUCGAACAGGAUUAGAUACCCUGGUAGUCCGCACGGUAAACGAUGGAUGCCCGCUGUCUGCGAUACACUGUAGGCGGCCAAGAGAAAUCGUUAAGCAUCCCACCUGGGGAGUACGCCGGCAACGGUGAAACUCAAAGGAAUUGACGGGGGCCCGCACAAGCGGAGGAACAUGUGGUUUAAUUCGAUGAUACGCGAGGAACCUUACCCGGGCUUGAACUGCAGGCGAACGAUACAGAGAUGUUGAGGCCCUUCGGGGCGCCUGUGGAGGUGCUGCAUGGUUGUCGUCAGCUCGUGCCGUGAGGUGUCGGCUUAAGUGCCAUAACGAGCGCAACCCCUUUCUCCAGUUGCCAUCAGGUGAUGCUGGGCACUCUGGAGACACUGCCACCGUAAGGUGUGAGGAAGGUGGGGAUGACGUCAAAUCAGCACGGCCCGACGGGCGGUGUGUACACACGUGUUACAAUGGGUGGUACAGAGAGUCGGUGCAGCGCAAGCUGCAUCUAAUCAUGAAAGCCAUCCUCAGUUCGGAUUGGGGUAUGCAACCCGACGCCACGAAGCUGGAUU